AGUGAACGCUGGCGGUAGGCCUAACACAUGCAAGUCGAACGGCGGCACAGUAAGAGCUUGCUCUUACGGGUGGCGAGUGGCGGACGGGUGAGGAAUACAUCGGAAUCUACUUUUUCGUGGGGGAUAACGUAGGGAAACUUACGCUAAUACCGCAUACGACCUACGGGUGAAAGCAGGGGAUCUUCGGACCUUGCGCGAUUGAAUGAGCCGAUGUCGGAUUAGCUAGUUGGCGGGGUAAAGGCCCACCAAGGCGACGAUCCGUAGCUGGUCUGAGAGGAUGAUCAGCCACACUGGAACUGAGACACGGUCCAGACUCCUACGGGAGGCAGCAGUGGGGAAUAUUGGACAAUGGGCGCAAGCCUGAUCCAGCCAUACCGCGUGGGUGUAGAAGGCCUUCGGGUUGUAAAGCCCUUUUGUUGGGAAAGAAAAGCAGCAGGUUAAUACCCCGCUGUUCUGACGGUACCCAAAGAAUAAGCACCGGCUAACUUCGUG
RNAcentral lists this ribosomal RNA (492 nucleotides) under uncultured bacterium. RNAcentral's name for it is "partial 16S ribosomal RNA". It matches the Rfam family "Bacterial small subunit ribosomal RNA", at positions 29 to 507 of the family's 1533-position model. The record is from RNAcentral.